RNAcentral lists this long non-coding RNA (431 nucleotides) under Ananas comosus (pineapple). RNAcentral describes it as "long non-coding RNA (ACOM_LNC032361)". The record is from RNAcentral. Lineage: Eukaryota; Viridiplantae; Streptophyta; Magnoliopsida; Poales; Bromeliaceae.
AUAAUGUUUUAUUUAGAAUUAAAUGCAUACAGGUCUCCGUAAAGAUAGUGAAUUAUAAAUAUAUUCCUACAAACUUUAACUUACAGAAAAAAUAAUUCUAAUAUUUUUAAAUAUGUCCGUCUAAUUUGUUACCGUUAAAGAACUGUUAGAGAAUUAUUUAUAUUUUCAAUUUUACCAUCACAAAUAUAUAUAUUCCUCCAAAAGCCACAUCAGUAUAAUAUAAGAGGUGUAAAAAUAUUAAAUUAUCUCAUAAACCACUAACCAGGGUCAAGCAUUUAACCUAUGAUUAACUAAAUAUUUUUAACAAAUUCUAACAUUAGGGACAUAUUUGAAAAUAUUAGGACUUUUGCAGAAAUAAUAUAUGAAAGUAAAACUUUGUCGGAACUUAUAUGCAAUUAACCUUUUUAUUUAAUAUUUUUUAUGCAUUUUUU